UACGUAGGGUGCAGGCGUUAAUCGGAAUUACUGGGCGUAAAGCGUGCGCAGGCGGCCCCUUAAGUCAGAUGUGAAAGCCCCGGGCUUAACCUGGGAACUGCGUUUGAAACUGGGGGGCUGGAGUGUGGCAGAGGGGGGUGGAAUUCCAUGUGUAGCAGUGAAAUGCGUAGAGAUAUGGAGGAACACCGAUGGCGAAGGCAGCCCCCUGGGCUAACACUGACGCUCAUGCACGAAAGCGUGGGGAGCAAACAGG
Molecule: ribosomal RNA, 253 nt
Filed under: uncultured bacterium
Lineage: Bacteria
Description: partial 16S ribosomal RNA
Rfam family: Bacterial small subunit ribosomal RNA
Source: RNAcentral